This 222-nucleotide long non-coding RNA is filed under the name Gossypium barbadense (sea-island cotton). Its description in RNAcentral is "long non-coding RNA (GBAR_LNC009450)". The record is from RNAcentral. Lineage: Eukaryota; Viridiplantae; Streptophyta; Magnoliopsida; Malvales; Malvaceae.
AGAUGCUUCUUUUAACCGGUCCCUAAUUAUUCUGACCUUAUCCUCAGUAUCAGCUACCAACUCUGGUCCAAGAAUUUGUCACUCUCCUAGUUCAGUCCAACAACUAGGUGUACGACACCUUCGUCCAUACAGUGCUUCAUACGGUGCCAUUCGAAUACUCGCCUGGUAACUGUUAUUGUACGCAAAUUCUGCCAACGGCAAGUAAUCCUCCCAACUACCUCG